GGGGGCGUACUGGCUUCGACUCAUCGUUGGAAGCGCAGACGGCAUGUCGAGGAUGGUUCGUUGGCCUCGUUAAAAACCGGACCAAACAAAUAAACGCAGACAACGAAGGUCUCGCUCUCGCGGCUUAAUUGACCGCGACGUUUUCGCAGUGACGCCUGCUAGCGGCGAAAACGUGGACAGCAGGCUGGCGAAUCGGCGGAGCGACCGUGCCGGUUCGUGAAUCGAUUUCGUGGACGCUCGGGAGCCGGCAAUGUGCCGGCGCAUGGCUUGGCUCCUCAGAAACGCUCGUGUCCGCGAACGCCACCAUGG
Molecule: transfer-messenger RNA, 309 nt
Filed under: Verrucomicrobiota bacterium
Lineage: Bacteria; Pseudomonadati; Verrucomicrobiota
Description: Verrucomicrobia bacterium transfer-messenger RNA
Rfam family: transfer-messenger RNA
About the family: Bacterial tmRNA, also known as 10Sa RNA or SsrA, is named for its dual tRNA and mRNA-like properties. Its role is to liberate the mRNA from a stalled ribosome. To accomplish this part of the tmRNA is used as a reading frame that ends in a translation stop signal.
Source: RNAcentral